UGAGGAAUAUUGGUCAAUGGCCGGGAGGCUGAACCAGCCAAGUCGCGUGAGGGAAGACGGCCCUACGGGUUGUAAACCUCUUUUGUCAGGGAGCAAGGGGCGGGUCGGGGACCUGCUGUGAGAGUACCUGAAGAAAAAGCAUCGGCUAACUCCGUGCC
This 158-nucleotide ribosomal RNA is filed under the name uncultured bacterium. RNAcentral describes it as "partial 16S ribosomal RNA". It matches the Rfam family "Bacterial small subunit ribosomal RNA", at positions 355 to 509 of the family's 1533-position model. The record is from RNAcentral.